This 253-nucleotide ribosomal RNA is filed under the name uncultured bacterium. RNAcentral's name for it is "partial 16S ribosomal RNA". It matches the Rfam family "Bacterial small subunit ribosomal RNA", at positions 524 to 776 of the family's 1533-position model. The record is from RNAcentral.
UACGUAGGGGGCGAGCGUUGUCCGGAUUUAUUGGGUUUAAAGGGUGCGUAGGCGGCUUUGUAAGUCAGUGGUGAAAUACGGUAGCUUAACUAUCGAGGUGCCAUUGAUACUGCGAGGCUUGAGUACAGAUGAGGUAGGCGGAAUUGACGGUGUAGCGGUGAAAUGCUUAGAUAUCGUCAAGAACACCUAUAGCGAAGGCAGCUUACUAGGCUGUAACUGACGCUGAGGCACGAAAGUGUGGGGAUCAAACAGG